Molecule: ribosomal RNA, 492 nt
Filed under: uncultured bacterium
Lineage: Bacteria
Description: partial 16S ribosomal RNA
Rfam family: Bacterial small subunit ribosomal RNA
Source: RNAcentral
AUUGAACGCUGGCGGCAUGCUUUACGCAUGCAAGUCGAACGGUAACAGGCCUUCGGGUGCUGACGAGUGGCGAACGGGUGAGUAAUGCAUCGGAACGUGCCCAGAGGUGGGGGAUAACGCAGCGAAAGCUGUGCUAAUACCGCAUGUGAUCUGAGGAUGAAAGCGGGGGACCAGGCAGCAAUGUUUGGCCUCGCGCCUUUGGAGCGGCCGAUGUCAGAUUAGGUAGUUGGUGGGGUAAAGGCCUACCAAGCCGACGAUCUGUAGCUGGUCUGAGAGGACGACCAGCCACACUGGGACUGAGACACGGCCCAGACUCCUACGGGAGGCAGCAGUGGGGAAUUUUGGACAAAGGGCGCAAGCCUGAUCCAGCAAUGCCGCGUGCGGGAAGAAGGCCUUCGGGUUGUAAACCGCUUUUGUACGGAACGAAAAGGCUCUGGCUAAUACCUGGGGCUGAUGACGGUACCGUAAGAAUAAGCACCGGCUAACUACGUG